GGAGUCUGGGCCGUAUCUCAGUCCCAAUGUGGCCGUUCAACCUCUCAGUCCGGCUACUGAUCGCAGCCUUGGUAGGCCGUUACCCUACCAACUAGCUAAUCAGACGUGAGCCCAUCCCUCAGCGGAUUGCUCCUUUGGUAUCCAGAAGAUGCCUCCCGGAUACGUCAUGCGGUAUUAGCAGUCGUUUCCAACUGUUGUCCCCCUCUGAAGGGCAGGUUGCUCACGCGUUACUCACCCGUUCGCCACUCAGUCAAAGAAGAACUUUGACGAAUCUCCGUUCUUCAGUGCUUCGUUCGACUUGCAUGUGUUAGGCAUGCCGCCAGCGUUCAUC
This 331-nucleotide ribosomal RNA is filed under the name uncultured Oscillospiraceae bacterium. RNAcentral's name for it is "partial 16S ribosomal RNA". The record is from RNAcentral. Lineage: Bacteria; Bacillati; Bacillota; Clostridia; Eubacteriales; Oscillospiraceae.